UACAGAGGGUGCGAGCGUUGUUCGGAAUUAUUGGGCGUAAAGGGCGCGUAGGCGGUGCCACAAGUCACUUGUGAAAUCCCCGGGCUUAACUCGGGGCCUGCAGGCGAAACUGUGGUGCUGGAGUAUGGGAGAGGUGCGUGGAAUUCCCGGUGUAGCGGUGAAAUGCGUAGAUAUUCGCAAGAACACCAGUGGCGAAGGCGGCUCACUGGCCCGGUACUGACGCUGAGGUGCGAAAGCG
This 238-nucleotide ribosomal RNA is filed under the name uncultured prokaryote. Its description in RNAcentral is "partial 16S ribosomal RNA". It matches the Rfam family "Bacterial small subunit ribosomal RNA", at positions 524 to 761 of the family's 1533-position model. The record is from RNAcentral.